CCAGAACCUCUGCAGUGAGUCCUGGUCUCCUGUGAGCCACGGCAGCACACGGCGAAUUACAGGAAAGAAAAGAAGUCAUUACUCUCAACAGCGACAAUAACAAGAGUAGCAAGCAUCUUCUAUGGUCCUCAAAGGGUUUUUGAUUAAUUAGCUGACUUCAAGCAGCACUGCUUAACUCAGGAACAUUCAGCUGGAGAAAAGAUGAUUUACCCAGAAGCUCCUUAUGGAAUAACAAACUAAACCCAACCUCUGCGGACCCAGGCUUACCUCAGAUGGGAGAGGCACUUUCCUAAUAAGGAGAAGCUCUUUACUUCUUGAGAGGAGGUGCAGCUUGGCUGUCAUCAUUGGCGCCCUUCCCAGCACUCCCUGUUCCAGACACUGCCCUUUAUUUGAAGAAGUGGUAAGGAAAUGGCUCCUAAUGUGACAGAGUGAAGCCUCAGAAGGUCCUGGAGUAUGAACAGAACAGUUGCUUUAAAAUAAGGAGCAAUAAACAGUAGAUUCAGUUGGUCCUGAUGAGUUCCAGGGACCAGCAGCCAGUGAGGAUCAGCAACAGAAUCCAGCAAUUGGCAGUCAAUUGACAGUGUCCAGCAUUGAAUGGCAGUGGCCAGCAGAGGCAGAAACCAGCAGCUGGGAAGGUUGGCUGACAGCAUCCUGUAUUAACUGAUGUUGAUUGGAGGCAUCAGCACUGCUAGCAGAGCUGCACUAUGAUAGUUUGUAAUUUCUAUCUGAGUUGAGCAAAAGAACCAUUAACUGAUUGGCAAUAACAUAAUUACUGGUCCCAUUUUCACUCCCUCCAUGAGUAUAUGAGACACCCAAUACUAAAACUCAAUCUUUUCAAAUAAAAAACAAAUUUCCAUGACAAGUGUUUUAGUUACUUUCUCUUUGAGGAAACAAAGAAAAAAAAAACCCUCAACAAACACAAGUUAAAGGAGGAGAAGUUUAU
Molecule: long non-coding RNA, 943 nt
Filed under: Heterocephalus glaber (naked mole-rat)
Lineage: Eukaryota; Metazoa; Chordata; Mammalia; Rodentia; Bathyergidae
Description: lncRNA (ENSHGLG00000042349.1)
Source: RNAcentral